UGAGGAAUUUUGCGCAAUGGGAGCAAUCCUGACGCAGCAACGCCGCGUGGGUGAUGAAGGCCUUCGGGUCGUAAAGCCCUGUCAGGUGGGAAGAAUGUCCCGGGACUGAACAGGUUCCGGGAGUGACGGUACCACCAGAGGAAGCACCGGCUAACUCCGUGCCAGCAGCCGCGGUAAUACGGAGGGUGCAAGCGUUAUUCGGAAUUACUGGGCGUAAAGCGCGUGUAGGCGGUCCCGCAAGUCUGAUGUGAAAGCCCCGGGCUUAACCCGGGAAGUGCAUUGGAAACGGUGGGACUGGAGUACGGGAGAGGAUGGGGGAAUGCCCGGUGUAGAGGUGAAAUUCGUAGAGAUCGGGAGGAAUAUCAGUGGCGAAGGCGCCCAUCUGGACGGUAACUGACGCUGAGACGCGAAAGCGUGGGGAGCAAACA
RNAcentral lists this ribosomal RNA (428 nucleotides) under uncultured prokaryote. Its description in RNAcentral is "bacterial SSU rRNA". It matches the Rfam family "Bacterial small subunit ribosomal RNA", at positions 355 to 774 of the family's 1533-position model. The record is from RNAcentral.